AAUCAUGUUAUUAUUUAGCUGGUUUCAUCAUAAUAUACAUGAUUAACUGAAACUUGUUCGUAAAUCUUAGAGAUUUAGAGGCAGCUCAAAUGAUCGAGCCCCCUCCAAAUUCUGAAAUGGUGGUUUGUGUUUGUGUUUGUUUGAGUUAGUGCCUUAGUUGACGUUGAGGGUUGGGAUAAUUUUGUUUAGGAUUUGAGUCCAAUUCAGAAUUUUUCAAAUAUUUUUUUUUUGUUAUUUUGACGUCGAAUUACAUCACCGUUAAAUUUUGCAAAACUUCUCAUGCAAUCACGCCAUGUUUUAUUGUCUUGAGUAUAUUUGUUUUUUUUUUUUUUUUUUCAAAAAUAAUAUUUUUCUGAAACAUAUUGGAAAUCGAAAUUUUUAUAUCUCCUUUUGAUUUGGAUUAAAAAAGGAACAUAUUAUGAAAAAAUAUAUAAUUCGGAUUAAACAUCAAAAAGUAUUUCAUUGAAAAUUAGUUUUUGAGACUUUCACGUUCUGCAUUUCACUUUUUGAGCAUUUGAGUGAAAUUAGAUGUUCUGUAUUUUUCCACUCAUUUAAAUCUCCUUUGAUCGAAUUCAAUUCAUUUUUCUUUGUCGUGAAUUUGUGUGACUUUUUCAAUGAAUUUGCAAUUUUUUGACAAAAUAUUUAAUUAUUGUAAGAAAUAUUAUAUUUAAAAUGUGCUAAGACCAAAAGACUAGUUAUUCUAAACAAUAUUGACCACCCUGUUCUCUUGAUUUACUUUCCUAUAAUUUAAAGAAUAACCGAUCAAGCCUAUGUAUGUCUAUGUACCUACGUACGCAUUAAUUUUAUAUUUUGUCAUUAUCAUAUUUCUCUCUUUACUUACUGUACAAUCGAAUGACUUAUUUUAACGUUACCUACUAAAUCUUAUGUACUUUCUCUUAAUCGUUUCAAAAUAUUAACUGUUAGUUUUAAGUUAUGAGAAAUAUGUUAUUUUACCAAAUCACUUGUAAUAAAGUUCUCGCUAAGACAAGACGUGUCUUUGUUUUUUUUAAUGAUUUCAAUGAUUUAUAUUUUCGCAUGUAAUUAGUAGUUUUGCAUUAAGUUUUAAUUUAUUUGCUUGUUUAAAGUAGUUUGAUAUGCUAAAGUAAAUGCAUUAUAUUAUCAAACUUAUAUUUUUAUUGUUUAGUAAUGUUUAUUUGUUGUUAAUUAAAAAAAAAAUACAUAAAACACAUGAGGCAUUAAAUAUAAUUCAUCACUGCCUCUGUGUUGCAACCUCAUUCGCUUUGCACUUUACCUAAUUAAUUUUAAUUUGAAAACUUGCAAUAAUAUCGUCCAUGUUCUGCAUUUCACUUACAUAUUUGAUAUGUCUCGCAAAAUGUGACCUCUUUUUUUUUUCAUUUAAAUUCUGCUUUUUUCCAUUAAAGUUACCAAUAAAAUUGCAUCCAUGUUCAAAGCAGCAGUAAUUUUACUUUAGAAACAAAAUAAAAAUGGAUAAUCUUUCUGUUUUGACAGUUCGACGCAUUUUCGAAAGUUUCGAAAUCGAUCGAAGAUCAAUUUCACGUGAAAUUGAAAAGUGAUUUCAAUACACUUUCGGUCGAAUUUCGGAACAUGAGCGUUUAUAUCGAAUAAAGUGAUGAGUGCAGGUCAAAAAAUUAGACGUGAUAGGAAUAAAGAUUAAAGAUUACUCAACACCUCGCUGUUUGUGUAAAAUGUUUGGAAUACAAGAACUUUGAUAAAAACACUAUUUUGAAUAUGAAUAUGACUACGAAGUCGAGAGCACUAAAAUGCUACUAUACCACUUUCAGUACUGCAGCACAUCGCUUUUGUCUCUAUCAAAAAUGAAUAAAAACAAUCAUUUUUAUAAAAAAACAAAACCGACUUUCAUGGAUCAAAACUGUGUUUUAUGGUUUUUCUAAUAGUUUCUAUGGCCAGAACGAAAUUGAAAUGGGACCACAUUGUAGCCACCAGCUUUCCAAUACAAAAAGAAUUAUCAAAAUUGUUUCACUCAGUCCAAAGUUAUGAGGUAGCAAACAUAAAAAAAAAAAACAAAAAACAAAACAGACGAAUUGAAUACCUCCUCCUUUUUGGAAGUCGGUAAAAAAGAAAAAAAUUUCAUAAUUUCACCAUAUAAAAAAUUUUCAAGCCCUCUCCAAAUUUUUUUCUGGAUACGCCACUGAUUACACGGUCAACGAAAUCGGUCAACGCGUUGACUCUCUGACGUCAAGAAAAAAUCCAUAUUCUCUCUGUCAUCUCACCGUCAACGUUCACAGUGUCAAUGCAUAAAACGUUGGCUAUCACACGAUUGACACUAUUGCGUCAAUUUUGUGCUAAAUUAUGUUGACGCGCAGGUGUGUCAACGUGACGUUUACUGAGCAGUGUCAACGCGUUGACUCGCAAAACUUUGUUAAUCACACUGUUUGACACAAAGAAAAAAUUUAAAUUUUCCAAAAAUAUUUUCUAAAAAAAAAGCGGAGAAAAUGAGAUUUGAAAAACAAGUACUUGGGUCUAUGGCUGACACAAGGGUUGAGUAUGACCGAGCAGUUCAAGGAUAGAACGCAUCAGGCAAAAACGAGCUUAAACUUGACUUGGCAAUCUUUUGUUUCGAAAAAGGACAUCAGUAAUUCAUCAAAACUCGAACUUUUUAACGCAGUUGCAAGGUCAAUUCUGGGAUAUGGUGCACAGGCCUGGGGACAUGAGCAAUACGAUGAAAUGGAAAAAGUCCAACGAUAUCUCUUAAAAAAAAUAAUGAAAGUACCAACUUCAACCCCAAACUACAUGCUCGUACUGGAGCUAAAAUUAAAACCUCUUCUCAUUUACACAAUGAAAUGUCACAUGUGCUACAUUAAGAAAAUUCUCUGUCUAUACGACGAGAAUUGUCUCCCGCAUAUAUUAGCUAAUAUAGUAGUCAUGCUAAUUUAAACCAAACAUUACGAACAAGCCCAUCAAGAUCCUUUUUAUACUUGUGCUAGCGUGCGGUUGAUUCUUGGAUAAUGAUACUCAGUGUUGAAAGUAUCAACAGGAACACCAAAAAAACCCAACACCAAAUUCCCACGGCAAUCAUAGCAGUCUCAGUAUGCUGAGUCACAACAAAAUACCUUGACCAUAAUAUUGUGUUACAUUAAAGCGCAGUGUCAUCAAUAGUUUUAAUUUUGUUUAUUAUUUAUGUUUUGAUUUGCCUUCCGCUUUUUUUGUCGUUUAUAGGUCAACCAAAAGCAAUAAAUAUAUUAUUAGUAAGCAAUAUGUUAUAUCAGGGCAAGGAUUCUUAUGCAAAUACAUAUUUUUUUUUGCAUAUUUUGCUAUAUGUGCAUAUACAUGCAUAUUUCGGUUUUUAGUGGAUAUUUUCGUAAUAAACGCAUAUUUUUGCCACAUAUUUUUAAAAAACGGAACAGUUUAAUUUUUGUUUAAGUUAUUUUUUAAAAUUUGUUUCAAAUGCGUACGCACCUUAAGCAUUUUAAUUUUAACAUCAAAAGAAGAAUGAAUUAAUACAAUUUCAACUGUCAUCGCUUCCAGUCUUCCAAUGCAAAUCUUCUUGCUUUUUCUUUCCACACAUAAUCAAAACAAAACAUACAACUGGAUAUAGAAACGGUAAAAUGAAACGAAGUAGGAGUCAAAGUCAAAACUCAAGAAUAUUUUGAUUGAAUUGGUAGACAAAAUUUUAUAAAUUUCUAAAAAAUUUAAACAACUGGAUAAAUCAUCGAAAGUUUGAGAGAAACGAAGUGCGAAAUAUGCCAAAAGUAAGAAGGUCUGUAGCUGCUACCCUGAAUAAAUACACAUCAGAAAAUCCGGAUGUAUUUAAACAUGAUGGAAAGGUUCUCUUUUGUAAAGUGUGCAGCAAAGGUAAUCUUUUUGAAAGAAAGUUCCAAGUUGACCAGCAUUUAAGGAGCCAAAAGCAUAAAGAACUAAAUGAAAGAAGAAAUACUUCUUUAUCUCAACAGAUGAUUUCGUUGGCCAACACUGAAAACAAAUUUUUACGAAGACUUGUGUGAAGCUUUUCUAGCUGCCGAUAUCCCGUUCUAUAAAUUAAAUAACCCUGCAUUAAAAAAUUUGUUUAAUAAAUACACAAGUCAAAAUGUUCCAUGUGAAUCCACAAUAAGAAAAAAUUAUGUGGAUAAAAUUUAUAAUUCGACUUUAAAUGAAAUCGAAACGAACUUGAGAAAUAAUUUUUUAUGGGUUUCGAUAGACGAAACUACAGAUAUUCAAGGACAUUUUAUUUCAAAUGUUAUUGUUGGUAUUUUGCAUCAAAAUGAAGAUUUAAGUAAGAAAAAGUAUUUAGUUAACGUAAUUGAAAUGGAGAAGACAAACCAUAUUUUAAUUGCUCGUGCGUUUGACGAUUCGAUAAAUUUACUCGGAGAUAUAAAACAAAAAUAAAAUUCUUUUAUUUGUAACUGACGGUGCCCCCUACAUGGUAAAAGCUGGACGUGGCUUAAAGCUAUUUUGUCCUAAAAUGGUUCAUGUUACAUGUCUAGCACAUGCAUUUCAUCGGGUCGCUGAAGAAAUACGAAAUAAUUUUAAAGACAUUGAUACUUUGAUAUCAAACGGAAAAAAAAUAUUUCUUAAAGCACCAACACGCGUGGAUUUGUUUAAAGAAAAAAAUCCUGGGAUUCCUCUUCCUCCACAACCUGUUGUCACACGAUGGGGAACGUGGCUUACUGCAGUCGAAUAUUAUGCGAAAAAUAUUGAAAAUUUUGAAGAAGUUGUGAAGGAAUUGGACGACUCAGAUGCAGUUUCUAUAAGAAAAACUAAAGAGUAAUUGAACAAAACAAUGCUAAAAAUUCAAUUAAUAUUUUUAAAUUCUAACUAUGGCUUUUUCAAUGAACUCUUAACUAAGCUUCAGGGUUGGAAUUCAUUAAAAACCCAAAUAGAUUUAAUUUAAGAUGCUUUUAAAAAAAUAAGUGCAGUUGAGGGUUCAAUUGGAAAAGCCAUUUAAAAAAAAAAACUGACAAUGUUUUAAAUAAAAAUGAAGGUUACUCUGAACUUAAAAAUAUUUCAAACAUCUUGUCGAACCCCGAACAUGAAGUUGUUUUAGAAAACUUAUCGAGUAGUGAAACACUUGCUUUUAAAAAUGCUCCAAUAACAUCGUCCGAAGUUGAACGAUCUUUUUCUAUGUUCAAAAGUUUUUUUAGGCCAAAUAGGCAAAAUUUUAGUUUUGAAAAUUUCAAAAAUAAUUUUAUGGUGCAUGCCAACAAAAAUUGUACUAAUGAUCCGAGUUUGUAGAUAUUUGUAUUAUGUCCCUAACUUAAAUCUAAUGUUUUUUUUUUAAUCCUGAAAGGUUUUAUGUUUUCUUUUUGUAUUGUUGCUUUGUUUAUUUAAUUUUAAUAAAAGACAAGAACUUACCAUUACCAUGCAACAUUGAACACCAUCAAAUGCGAGUUGUGUAAAGGCGAUCAUCCACUCUACACAUGCAGAACAUUUUUGCAGAAGGGAAUAUACCAGAGAAAUGAAUAUGCAAAAGAAAAUAAACUUUGUAUAAACUGUCUAAGACCAGGACACUUCACCCAAACCUGAAUGUCAACAAGAAGAUGUCAAAAAUGUAAUAAGAAGCACCAUACUUCGGUGCACUUCGACCAAAAUCCAGAAAAUCCGAGACGAUCAAUGGCUGUUGAACGAACAACCCAAUCCGGGAGAGUGCAGUCCCACAACUGCACAACAGGCAGUAGUGUUCUUCUAGCAACAGCUGUUAUCAAAAUAAAUGGACCAAACAAUAACAUACAAUGUGUCAGAGCGUUAAUAGACCAAGGCUCUCAAGCAUCGUUUAUCACCGAAGAUGUAGCAAACAAACUACAACUACAAAGAACAAAGGUUGAUGGAACAGUAUCCGGACUUGGCUCACACGAGGUAUCAACAGUAAAAUAUAAAGUAAACAUCACUCUAAGCAACAAUCCAAACACCUGUACCACUGCAUAUGUCCUAAAAAAUGUCACAAAAACACUCCCAUCUACACGUAUAAAAACAGAGUGGGGACACCUACAAAAAUUAAUACUAGCUGAUCCUACAUACAACAUUCCAGGCAAAAUCGACAUGAUCGUGGGUGCAGAAGUGAUUGCCGAAAUACUCCAGGAAGGAGUCAUCAAGGGAAAACCAGGCUCACCUAUAGCCCAACAAACCAUCUUUGGGUGGGUUAUAUCUGGAAAUACUGGCAACAACACUCAACAAUUAUCGUGUCAUAUCAUAUUAACUGACUUAGACAAUCGAAUAAGCAAGUUCUGGAAUACUGAAGACCUAAGAAAUGAAACACAAGGGGCCUUACCAAUAAUGAAUCGCUAAACACACGUUUAAGUAUCGUCGGGUUAAAUUUUAUCGUCGCGUUAAAUUGGGUGUAUACUAAUAAUCAAAAUAAACACGCGUUUAACUAAUUGUGCUUCUAUUACCAGAUCUAUUACAUUUGUUGUCAAAAUGACACCAUUGAAGUGACAUUUUUUGCAUGUAAUGUAAUAAUGAACAAAAACAUAACCACAAAAUACCUACAUACCUUCAUAUAUUUUUAUUUUGGUUGUAAAAAUUAAAAAAUGGAGCCUAAGCAAGAAGGCCAAAAGUGCAUAAAAAAAAACUUCAUCUAUCGUGAAGUAUGACGAUGAAAAUUUGCAGAUCUAUUUCUUUUUAAGUUUUCUUUUUCAGCCUUUUCUGAAAGUAUCUAAUGAAUAUUUAUUAAUAAAAAAGAGAAAUAUUAAUAAACAAAUAAAUUUUUCCAUUUACUUAUUUAAUAAUUUGCCGCCAAUAUUAUCAAUUUUUCUCAACAAUAAUUUGUUGACUUGACAAAUGUUUUUUUUUUGCCGUCAAAUGACAGUGCAAAUCGUGCGUUUUAAUUUAACCGUGCGUUUAUAGUUGAGUUUCCCAACUAUAAAAUUAACGUGGCGUUAACCCUUAACCUGACUAUUAAAUUGGUUAUUGGUAUGGAGAAAUAUUUAAAGCUCAGUUAAAUAUUUAACUGAGCUUUAAAUUUGAUUAUUAGUAAGGCCCAAGAAAACCAAACAAAUAAAUGCGAAGACUAUUACCAGCAGACUGUAUCUCGAAACAAUGAAGGAAGGUACAUUGUAAGGAUACCGUUUGAAGUUCAACCAGAACUUUCAAACAAUCAAUCAAAGAAGAGAGCGAUUACAUUAUAUUACUUCACAUGGAAAAAAUUUUUGCAAAAAAUCAAAAAUUGGCCGAAGACUACAAAACGUUUAUGAAGGAGUAUAUUGAGUUAGGACAUAUGAGCAAAUGCAUAACAGGCAAUGAACAAGGGGCAUACUAUCUACCACACCACGCUGUUAGUAACCCGAACAGCUCAACGACAAAACUAAGGGUAGUAUUUGAUGCCUCAUCGAAAUCUGCAACAGAAAAAAGCCUCAACCAACUAAUGCAUACAGGGCCCAAAAUCCAAGAAGACCUGACUUCAAUUCUCAUACGGUGGCGAAAGCAUAGAAUUGUAUUCUCAGCUGACAUUCAGAAGAUGUACCGACAAAUCUUAAUCUACAUCCCAGAUCGUAAAUACCAACGUAUCUUAUGGAGAAACUCCCCAAAUGGAGAAAUCAUGGAAUAUGAACUAAACACUGUCACUUAUGGAACAGCAUCAGCACCAUAUCUAGCUAUAAGAACACUGAAACAACUGGCAGAAGACGAAGGGAAGAAUUAUCCGCAAGCCGCUCAAAGUCUAUUAACAGAUUUCUAUGUGGACGAUGUCAUGUCAGGUGGAGACUCAAUUGAAGAAGUAAGAGAACAGAAAAAACAACCCACGAAUCUCCUCAAAACUGGUGGGUUCCAGUUACAUAAGUGGAAUAGUAAUAUCAAUAGGUUACUGGGAAAAGAAGUAAAUUCCAUAAGGAGCCUCGAAUUAGAUAAAGAAGAAUACGUCAAAACACUUGGCAUUCAGUGGCAUCCAUCAAAGGACUACUUCUCGUUCGAAGUCAAGCCGUAUGAAGCAAAUUCCACCUGGACAAAGAGGAAUGUGUUAUCAGAAAUAGCCUGAAUAUUCGAUCCACUAGGGUGGAUCGCACCGAUCGUUCUACGAGCAAAAUUACUGAUGCAAGACCAAAUGGAACACAACCUUGACUGGGAUGAUCCAAUUCCCACCACACUGAAAACGAAAUGGAAAGAUUACAGAAGCGAUCUCAACAGUAUAACCAAUAUCAAAAUAGAAAGAUGGACGAAAUACUCACGUACUGUCAACAAGAUUGAAAUUCAUGGUUUUUGCGAUGCAUCUGAAAGAGCAUAUGGCGCCAACAUAUACAUGAGAAUCAUAGAUAAAAAUAACAAGAUUACAACAACCUUAUUAACUUCCAAAACAAGGUCGGCACCAAAACAAAAGAAACAAAAUGGCAAGAAACCUUUAACCAUACCCAAACUAGAAUUAUGUGGAGCGGUUUUACUAGCAAACUUGCUGUGGAAGGUUAAAAAAGAUCUAGAUAUCGAGAAGAUAGAGACUUUGCAUGGUGCGACUCAACUGUUGCCUUAGCUUGGAUAAGCGCAACUCCAAAUAAAUGGAAAACUUUUGUUUCACACAGAGUACAAGAAAUCCAGAGAUUAAACACAGGAUACUCAUGAAGACACGUUAAAUCAGAAGAUAACCCUGCAGACUUAGCAUCAAGAGGUACAUCUCCAAGUUUCUUAAAAGAAGCAUCAAUUUGUUGGAAGGGACCAGUGUGGCUACAAUCAAAGCAACUUUUGAAACUCCAACCAAUCUCAAACCUUAAAACAGAACUGGAACUUAAAAUCACGUCACACCAUAUGACCAAGGAAGAAUUCUAUCCACAAGACGACAUUAUUGCAAGAUUUUCAUCAUUCACCCGAUUAAUAAGGGUAAUAGCACUCUGUACCAGAUACAUUCACGUCAUAAAAGGAAAAAUAAAAGCUCGAAAAAUUUCAAAAGAGUCUGACAAAGAAAUACAAGAAGAAAAAAGAGCAUUACAAAAGCGAAAUUUAUUACCAUUAGAAGUGAAAAUUACACACCUUUCGAAACUAAACACGACUGAGCUGAAGGACGCUCAUAUCAACAUCAUAAAGAUAGCACAAAAGACAUUACACGAAGAAUACAAGGCUCUACAAGAACAAGGCUCAGUACCAGUUAGAAGCAACAUAGCCAACCUAAAUCCAUUCAUUCAACAAGGCAUACUACGGGUAGGAGGAAGAUUACAAAACUCACAACUGGCUCCAGAGGCAAAACAUCCGCAAAUAAUCCCACAUAAAUCACAUUUGGCAAAGUUGAUCAUAGACUAAGAGCAUAAGACAACACUUCAUGGUGAAAAUGAUCUAACCAUGGCAUGCAUCUUAACUAAAUAUUGGAUUAUAAAAGGAAGAGGUGAUGUAAACAACUUCAUUAAGAAAUGUAUUAAAUGCCAAAGAUUCAACAUACGAAACCAGACGAAAUUAAUGGGAAAUCUACCCGCACCACGAGUAUGUAUGUCAAGACCUUUUACACACACUGGAGUGGACUAUCCGGGCCCGUUUAUGAUGAAGACUAGCAAAAUUCGUAACGCGAAAUUAACAAAUUGAUAUAUAGCAGUUUUCUUAUGCUUAGCAACAAAAGCAUUUCAUCUUGAAGCAGUCUCCGACCUUUCAACAGACACAUUCUUAGCUGCAUUCGAUAGAAUGAGUUCUAGACGAGGACUGGUAAGUCACCUGUAUAGUGAUAAUGCGACAAACUUUGUAGGAGCCAGCACUAAAAUAAAAAACCAAUAUAAAAAACAAAACGAAGAAUUCACGGAAGCAAUGGCAAAUCAAGGAGUAACAUGGCACUUCAUACCACCAGCAUCUCCACACUUCGGCGAACUCUGGGAAGCUGGAGUGAAAUCAGUCAAGCUUCACCUAAAAAAGACAAUUGGCGACACCCAUCUUCCGUAUGAAGAAUUCGCAACCUAACUUUCAAAAAUAGAAGCUUGUCUCAACUCCAGACCAUUAUGUCCAAUGACUGGUACUCAAGAAGAUUUAGAAUCGUUAACACCAGCUCAUUUCUUGAUCGGCUCAAAUAUGUUCUGCAGAGAUACAGACAACGUUCUCGAUACAAAAGAGAACAGACUGACACGAUGGGAAUAUUUAAAUAAACUAAACCAACAAUUCUGGAAGAGAUGGUCAUCGGAAUAUCUCACAAGAUUGCAAAAACGUCCCAAAUGGACAAAUACAUCAAAUAACAUUGCAGACGGUGAUCUGGUCCUUAUACGAGAAGAUAACAUUGCCCCAGCAAAUUGGUGUAUGGGCAGAGUUCAAACAACAUAUCCUGGAAAAGAUGGAUAUGUCCGAGUUGUCACAGUUAAGACUCCGUCUGGAUAUUUAACGCGUCCAAUAACUUAAAUAUCCAAAUUAGCAACAGAUGCACCAAUAAGAACUGAACCAAAUAAGAAUGCAAUAGAACAGAAUCUAGAAUUGGGGAGUACAAUCGAUAAAAACCCAGUCGUAAACCCAAAAACCCGAAACCAACUAACAUGCCACCAUCUUCAGUCGCCAAUUCUAAAACCAAGAAAAAUCAUUAAAAAAUUUAAAAUACGACCAACGACAAUCCCUAUCCGACCACCAAUAGAAGAACUCAUAGAACGACACCAAGGCAGAAAGAGAGGAAGUGAAAUCAUACGCAAUACUGAAACAAAAAAGGCCAGAACAACCAUUCCAUCAUUAAUUGUAUCCAUUGCACUAGCAUCGAUUGUCUGGCCACUGCCAGUACACGCCCAAUAUUCUAAUACACCAUUUACCACACAUCCAGGAUUGUAUUUUGAAGAUAACGGUAGCAUCAACCUCAUCGCAUCAAAUUGGCGAAUGAUAACAUAUUACAACUUAGCCAUCUACAAAAGCCAAUUUAGGAUUACACAACAUGGUAUACGAUAUAGAUCUAGGAUGCAAGACUCUUAACUCAUCUGAGUGCUUCAAUAUACUCACAAUGUUGAGAGCACAUGUAGCAACCAUCGAAGAAAGAAAUGUAAUUUUAUAUGAAAGGGUCAAAAGGUCACCUUUCGACAUUAUAGGAAAAAUAUCAAAUCAAUUAUUAGGCAUUUUAGAUCAAGAUUACGCUCGGAAUAUUGAGAUGCAGAUUGACAAGGUGAACCAAGAUGACGAAUACACUAAAAGACUUCUACAAAAUCAAACUUCAAUUGUAGAAACCACACUUAAUAUCCUAAAAACAACAGGUCUACAAACCACAAAUCAAUUCAAAUUACUACAGGAAAGAGUUAGUAACAUAACUACAGAAAUGCAGAAUACAAUAGACAACGUUCAUCAAACUCAACUGUUAACUAUUCUAGGACUAACUACACACAUGUAUGUCAGCAACGUCAAAAACAUACAAGAUUCACUGCUAGAUGCUGUAUUAAACACGCAACACGGAACAACCCAUUAUUUGAUAAUAACUCCUCAACAACUUAGAAAACAUCUGACUGAUAUCCGGCAGCACAUGCCUGCAACAAUGACACUACCUGUAAGUGAACGUCCAGAUCAAAUACUUCAAAUAUAUAAAUUGAUGAAUGUUCACGGGAGAAUAACUAAAAGCUAUAUCAUCUUUGAGUGCAAUAUACCAAUACUAGACUCAGAGAUAUACCAGUGUUUAGAAUAAUACCCGUUCCAACACCAUUUCAGGAUCAAUUUACCUUCAUUGCUCCAUCAUCAAAAUAUAUAUUUACUAAUCUAGCACGAGAAAAAUACUAUCCAAUGCAAGAAAGCGAAUUCGACAAAUGCACUUCAGUAGAAGAAGGGUUACAUUACUGUCCAAAACAUCAUCCGCUUUACAAUCUCCAAUCUAAUACAUCCCUUUUUUUUUAAUAAAUAUGAUUUAAAAUCAUGAAAAUAUAAAAAAUAUAAAAACCAGCAUAAAAGUGUUCAUAUAUGCGUUUCGCCCCGAUGUAAUGGUUGAGCUCAUCAGAAGAUGACCAUUACACCUUGUCUUGACGCAUAUUUUCCCGAAUAAAUCGAGACUCCAUAUAAUCCGAGCUGCAUAGAGCAACUGCGAAUUAUAUAGUUGCUACAAGUCUAAAAAGAAGAUAAAUUGUAGCUAUUUUUAUUUCCUUGCUAUGGCACUGAAGAAAUAUUUGACUGUAAACAGUCGAAUUGUUUUUUCCUGAACACCGUUUAUUUUUAAUAAAUAUGAUUUAAAAUCAUGAAAAUAUAAAAAAUAUAAAAACCAGCAUAAAAGUGUUCAUAUAUGCGUUUCGCCCCGAUGAUGUAAUGGUUGGGCUCAUCAGAAGAUGACCAUUACACCUUGUCUUGACGCAUAUUUUCCCGAAUAAAUCGAGACUCCAUAUAAUCCGAGCUGCAUAGAGCAACUGCGAAUUAUAUAGUUGCUACAAGUCUUCAAAGAAGAUAAAUUGUAGCUAUUUUUAUUUCCUUGCUAUGGCACUGAAGAAAUAUUUGACUGUAAACAGUCGAAUUGUUUUUUCCUGAACACCGUUUAUUUUUAAUAAAUAUGAUUUAAAAUCAUGAAAAUAUAAAAAAUAUAAAAACCAGCAUAAAAGUGUUCAUAUAUGCGUUUCGCCCCGAUGUAAUGGUUGGGCUCAUCAGAAGAUAGCAAGGAAAUAAAAAUAGCUACACUGAGCCAAAAAACAACGUAAAA
This is a long non-coding RNA of Episyrphus balteatus (marmalade hoverfly), 12466 nucleotides long. RefSeq lists it as uncharacterized. The record is from RefSeq and is a predicted model, not a curated record. The transcript has 2 exons. NCBI's taxonomy places the organism in Eukaryota, Metazoa, Arthropoda, Insecta, Diptera, Syrphidae.